ACUUGAGUAGUUUAAAUAUUAAAAUAUUGAUUUGUGGAGUCAAUGAUAUAAUUAAUUUAUCUUAAGUC
RNAcentral lists this transfer RNA (68 nucleotides) under Hebardina concinna. Its description in RNAcentral is "tRNA-His". It matches the Rfam family "tRNA". From Rfam's summary of the family: Transfer RNA (tRNA) molecules are approximately 80 nucleotides in length. Their secondary structure includes four short double-helical elements and three loops (D, anti-codon, and T loops). Lineage: Eukaryota; Metazoa; Arthropoda; Insecta; Blattodea; Blattidae. The record is from RNAcentral.